Ipomoea nil (Japanese morning glory) is the source of this 213-nucleotide long non-coding RNA. RefSeq lists it as uncharacterized. The record is from RefSeq and is a predicted model, not a curated record. NCBI's taxonomy places the organism in Eukaryota, Viridiplantae, Streptophyta, Magnoliopsida, Solanales, Convolvulaceae. The transcript is spliced from 2 exons.
CUUGAUUCCUGUGCAUAUUCUUCAACUAUCAUCUCUCUGUGUGCUGUGAAUCAGGCGAUUGUGUAGUUGUUCUGUAGUCUGUUUCAGAGGUAUUUGUUUAAGGAUUAUAUAAGUGUGAGGUUCUUUUCUAUUUUGCUUGGCAUAUACUCAUAAAAGAUCCAGAUUUCCCUUUAAGAGGAAGAUGACGAUUGAAAACAUUACAGCUAACAUAGG